Molecule: ribosomal RNA, 119 nt
Filed under: Triticum aestivum (bread wheat)
Lineage: Eukaryota; Viridiplantae; Streptophyta; Magnoliopsida; Poales; Poaceae
Source: RNAcentral
GGAUGCGAUCAUACCAGCACUAAAGCAUCGGAUCCCAUCAAAACUCCGAAGUUAAGCGUGCGUGGGGGAGAGUAGUACUAGGAUGGGUGACCUCCUGGGAAGUCCUCGUGUUGCAUUCC